GACGAACGCUGGCGGCGUGCCUAAUACAUGCAAGUCGAGCGGACGAAUCGAAAGCUUGCUUUUGAUUCGUUAGCGGCGGACGGGUGAGUAACACGUGGGCAACCUGCCCUGUAGACGGGGAUAACACCGAGAAAUCGGUGCUAAUACCGGAUAACACGAAAUGUCGCAUGACGUUUCGUUGAAAGACGGCGCAAGCUGCCGCUACAGGAUGGGCCCGCGGCGCAUUAGCUAGUUGGUGAGGUAACGGCUCACCAAGGCGACGAUACGUAGCCGACCUGAGAGGGUGAUCGGCCACACUGGGACUGAGACACGGCCCAGACUCCUACGGGAGGCAGCAGUAGGGAAUCUUCCGCAAUGGACGAAAGUCUGACGGAGCAACGCCGCGUGAGCGAAGAAGGCCUUCGGGUCGUAAAGCUCUGUUGUUAGGGAAGAACAAGUAACGCAGUAACUGGCGUUAACGCGACGGUACCUAACGAGAAAGCCACGGCUAACUACGUG
Molecule: ribosomal RNA, 498 nt
Filed under: uncultured bacterium
Lineage: Bacteria
Description: partial 16S ribosomal RNA
Rfam family: Bacterial small subunit ribosomal RNA
Source: RNAcentral